CGGAACGUACCCAAGAGUGGGGGAGUAACGUAGCGAAAGUUACGCUAAUACCGCAUACGAUCUAAGGAUGAAAGCAGGGGAUGCGCUUGCGCACCUUGUGCUCCUGGAGCGGCCGAUAUCUGAUUAGCUAGUUGGUAGGGUAAAAGCCUACCAAGGCAUCGAUCAGUAGCUGGUCUGAGAGGACGACCAGCCACACUGGAACUGAGACACGGUCCAG
This 217-nucleotide ribosomal RNA is filed under the name uncultured bacterium. Its description in RNAcentral is "partial 16S ribosomal RNA". It matches the Rfam family "Bacterial small subunit ribosomal RNA", at positions 119 to 334 of the family's 1533-position model. The record is from RNAcentral.